Long non-coding RNA from Oncorhynchus tshawytscha (Chinook salmon), 747 nucleotides. Lineage: Eukaryota; Metazoa; Chordata; Actinopteri; Salmoniformes; Salmonidae. The record is from Ensembl.
AAUAGACACCAGUUGAAGCCGGUUCGUUUGUUCGCGAUGAUCAUUGUUUUACAUGAUAAAAACAUCAUUUUGCUCGAUUCUGCACUUAGUUUGACCAGUUUAGUCGACAUAUAAUAUGUAAUUUUGAAGUUUUGAUGCGCAAGAGUGCGGGACCAGAAGGAGCAGAAGUUAUUUUGGGUGCAUUUCAGCUGAAGCUGUUAGCAUAUGCUAAUACAAAGACGCACAACUUGAAACCAAACGACGUAUUGGUAAAGGAUGAAGAUCCAGAGUAUGUUACUGCUGUUCGCUCUAGUGGGUGUCCUGUUAGCAAGCUCCCUCAAUGAAGAUAACUCUGAGGAUGCUCUCCUGCAGGAGGAUGAUGCAAAAAAUGGAAAGGCUGCCUUUUUGGCAAAGUUGGCUACUCUGAAGACCAGCCCCUCUGAAGAUGAAGCAGCAUUUUGGGGCGCGCUUUGGAACGUAGCCAAGGAAUUUGUUGGGUGAGAAGCGACCAGCAUGGGGAUGCCAAGGAUCCUUUUCAGUCUCCAUAUGGAAUCAGCUAUCACCUCUGAAGUCAUCACUAACAUUACCUCAGUGAAUCAUUCCAACAACCAUCAAUCAAUGAUUGUCAAAAAACAACAACAGUAAUACAGUUAAUUGGUACUUUGGUUCUGAGAAGAACUCAUCAACAUUCUGAAGAAUAUAUGUUUUAUCCAUGAACAUGUACUUUAUGUCCUGACACAUGAUAGUUGAUUGGUCAAGUUAGUGGAU